AGUGAACGCUGGCGAUAGGCCUAACACAUGCAAGUCGAACGGCAGCACAGUAAGAGCUUGCUCUUACGGGUGGCGAGUGGCGGACGGGUGAGGAAUACAUCGGAAUCUACUUUUUCGUGGGGGAUAACGUAGGGAAACUUACGCUAAUACCGCAUACGACCUACGGGUGAAGGCAGGGGAUCUUCGGACCUUGCGCGAUUGAAUGAGCCGAUGUCGGAUUAGCUAGUUGGCGGGGUAAAGGCCCACCAAGGCGACGAUCCGUAGCUGGUCUGAGAGGAUGACAAGCCACACUGGAACGGAGACACGGUCAAGACUCCUACGGGAGGCAGCAGUGGGGAAUAUUGGACAAUGGGCGCAAGCCUGAUCCAGCCAUACCGCGUGGGUGAAGAAGGCCUUCGGGUUGUAAAGCCCUUUUGUGGGGAAAGAAAAGCAGCAGGUUAAUACCCCGCUGUUCUGACGGUACCCAAAGAAUAAGCACCGGCUAACUUCGUG
RNAcentral lists this ribosomal RNA (492 nucleotides) under uncultured bacterium. Its description in RNAcentral is "partial 16S ribosomal RNA". It matches the Rfam family "Bacterial small subunit ribosomal RNA", at positions 29 to 507 of the family's 1533-position model. The record is from RNAcentral.